UUAAGUGACUAAGCGUACACGGUGGAUGCCUUGGCAGUCAGAGGCGAUGAAGGACGUAUUAACUUGCGAUAAGCCCAGAUUAGGUAGUAAAAACCAUUUGAGUCUGGGAUUUCCGAAUGGGGAAACCCACUAGCAUAAGCUAGUAUCGCUGCGUGAAUACAUAGCGCAGCGAGGCGAACCGGGGGAACUGAAACAUCUAAGUACCCCGAGGAAAAGAAAUCAACCGAGAUUCCGAAAGUAGCGGCGAGCGAAAUUGGACUAGCCCUUAAGCUUUUUAUGCGUCAGGUGAAACUUCUGGAAAGUUGUGCGAUACAGGGUGAUAGCCCCGUAACCGGCAACGCAUUUAAAGUGAAAUCGAGUAGGGCGGGACACGUGAUAUCCUGUCUGAAUAUGGGGGGACCAUCCUCCAAGGCUAAAUACUACUGACUGACCGAUAGUGAACCAGUACCGUGAGGGAAAGGCGAAAAGAACCCCUGUGAGGGGAGUGAAAUAGAACCUGAAACCGUGUACGUACAAGCAGUAGGAGCACCUUCGUGGUGUGACUGCGUACCUUUUGUAUAAUGGGUCAGCGACUUAUAUUCAGUGGCAAGGUUAACCAUCUAGGGGAGCCGUAGGGAAACCGAGUCUUAACUGGGCGUUCAGUCUCUGGAUAUAGACCCGAAACCAGGUGAUCUAGCCAUGGGCAGGUUGAAGGUUGAGUAACAUCAACUGGAGGACCGAACCGACUAAUGUUGAAAAAUUAGCGGAUGACUUGUGGCUAGGGGUGAAAGGCCAAUCAAACCUGGAGAUAGCUGGUUCUCCCCGAAAGCUAUUUAGGUAGCGCCUCGGACGAAUACUACUGGGGGUAGAGCACUGUUAAGGCUAGGGGGUCAUCCCGACUUACCAACCCUUUGCAAACUCCGAAUACCAGUAAGUACUAUCCGGGAGACACACGGCGGGUGCUAACGUCCGUCGUGGAGAGGGAAACAACCCAGACCGCCAGCUAAGGUCCCAAAUUACUACUAAGUGGGAAACGAUGUGGGAAGGCUCAGACAGCCAGGAUGUUGGCUUAGAAGCAGCCAUCAUUUAAAGAAAGCGUAAUAGCUCACUGGUCGAGUCGGCCUGCGCGGAAGAUGUAACGGGGCUAAGUAGUAAACCGAAGCUGCGGCAAUGCACUUUAGUGCAUUGGGUAGGGGAGCGUUCUGUAAGCGGUUGAAGGUGUGUGGUAACGCAUGCUGGACGUAUCAGAAGUGCGAAUGCUGACAUGAGUAACGAUAAAGGGGGUGAAAAACCUCCUCGCCGGAAGACCAAGGGUUCCUGUCCAACGUUAAUCGGGGCAGGGUAAGUCGACCCCUAAGGCGAGGCCGAAAGGCGUAGUCGAUGGGAAACGGGUUAAUAUUCCCGUACUUCUUACAAUUGCGAUGGGGGGACGGAGAAGGCUAGGUGGGCCUGGCGACGGUUGUCCAGGUUCAAGUGCGUAGGCUUAAGAGUUAGGUAAAUCCGGCUCUUUCUAAGGCUGAGACACGACGUCGAGCUACUACGGUAGUGAAGUCAUUGAUGCCAUGCUUCCAGGAAAAGCCUCUAAGCUUCAGAUUGUAAGGAAUCGUACCCCAAACCGACACAGGUGGUCGGGUAGAGAAUACCAAGGCGCUUGAGAGAACUCGGGUGAAGGAACUAGGCAAAAUGGUACCGUAACUUCGGGAGAAGGUACGCUCUCGACGGUGAAGUCCCUCGCGGAUGGAGCUAUUGAGAGUCGCAGAUACCAGGUGGCUGCAACUGUUUAUUAAAAACACAGCACUGUGCAAAAUCGUAAGAUGACGUAUACGGUGUGACGCCUGCCCGGUGCCGGAAGGUUAAUUGAUGGGGUUAGACUUCGGUCGAAGCUCUUGAUCGAAGCCCCGGUAAACGGCGGCCGUAACUAUAACGGUCCUAAGGUAGCGAAAUUCCUUGUCGGGUAAGUUCCGACCUGCACGAAUGGCGUAAUGAUGGCCACGCUGUCUCCACCCGAGACUCAGUGAAAUUGAAAUCGCUGUGAAGAUGCAGUGUACCCGCGGCUAGACGGAAAGACCCCGUGAACCUUUACUACAGCUUGGCACUGAACAUUGACCCUACAUGUGUAGGAUAGGUGGGAGGCUUUGAAGCACAGUCGCUAGAUUGUGUGGAGCCGUCCUUGAAAUACCACCCUUGUAGUGUUGAUGUUCUAACGUUGACCCCUAAUCGGGGUUGCGGACAGUGCCUGGUGGGUAGUUUGACUGGGGCGGUCUCCUCCCAAAGCGUAACGGAGGAGCACGAAGGUGGGCUAAUCACGGUUGGACAUCGUGAGGUUAGUGCAAUGGCAUAAGCCCGCUUGACUGCGAGAAUGACGGUUCGAGCAGGUGCGAAAGCAGGUCAUAGUGAUCCGGUGGUUCUGAAUGGAAGGGCCAUCGCUCAACGGAUAAAAGGUACUCCGGGGAUAACAGGCUGAUACCGCCCAAGAGUUCAUAUCGACGGCGGUGUUUGGCACCUCGAUGUCGGCUCAUCACAUCCUGGGGCUGAAGUCGGUCCCAAGGGUAUGGCUGUUCGCCAUUUAAAGUGGUACGCGAGCUGGGUUUAGAACGUCGUGAGACAGUUCGGUCCCUAUCUGCCGUGGGCGUUGGAAGAUUGAAGGGGGCUGCUCCUAGUACGAGAGGACCGGAGUGGACGAACCUCUGGUGUUCGGGUUGUGUCGCCAGACGCAUUGCCCGGUAGCUAAGUUCGGAAUCGAUAACCGCUGAAAGCAUCUAAGCGGGAAGCGAGCCCUGAGAUGAGUCUUCCCUGAUACUUUAAGUAUCCUAAAGGGUUGUUCGAGACUAGAACGUUGAUAGGCAGGGUGUGUAAGCGUUGUGAGGCGUUGAGCUAACCUGUACUAAUUGCCCGUGAGGCUUAACCAU
This 2888-nucleotide ribosomal RNA is filed under the name Vibrio harveyi. RNAcentral describes it as "bacterial LSU rRNA". It matches the Rfam family "Bacterial large subunit ribosomal RNA". Lineage: Bacteria; Pseudomonadati; Pseudomonadota; Gammaproteobacteria; Vibrionales; Vibrionaceae. The record is from RNAcentral.